UCAUAUUUUAUAUGUGUUUUCAGGGUUUAUAAGGCCUUUAUAAUUGUCUAAGUUUGUUUUUGUAGAUACAAAGUCUGAGGAGUGUCAAGUGUAUGGUACUCUAUGACAAAAUGGAGAUUUUUCCACUUGUCGGGGCUUGUAUUCAAAAGCUUGUUGGGUCAUGGAUCUUUUCUCACACCUAGAUCAUUUUUCUUUUCAAGUGAAACUCAAAUGGAGAUCAAUGAUGAUUGGAUCCUUAUUUGAAGCACCUUAUAUGAGAACGAUGGAUGUAGCUACUUCUUAGUAUAAAGUGUAAGAGCUACUCGCUUGUAUGUCAUUUUUUCUCUAUCUCUUCACGGAACUAGAGUCAUCAUUACAUAUUUGAUGGUGGAUGCAUGAGAGCUUGUUGAU
RNAcentral lists this long non-coding RNA (390 nucleotides) under Populus trichocarpa (black cottonwood). Its description in RNAcentral is "long non-coding RNA (PTRI_LNC004768)". Lineage: Eukaryota; Viridiplantae; Streptophyta; Magnoliopsida; Malpighiales; Salicaceae. The record is from RNAcentral.